AUUCAUUUUUUAAAGACAAGGUUGGGGAGCUAAACACUUUUAACUUUUAGAGUUAAAAGCACUGGCUUCAUCUCCAACUGCAUGCCAGAGUAACGGAGAGACUUUGACAGCCCAGGUUAUCACAGUGCCUGCUGUUGCCACUCAGCUCUCCUAUAUGU
Small nucleolar RNA from Rattus norvegicus (Norway rat), 158 nucleotides. Ensembl annotates it as small nucleolar RNA SNORA44. Lineage: Eukaryota; Metazoa; Chordata; Mammalia; Rodentia; Muridae. The record is from Ensembl.